Homo sapiens (human) is the source of this 1866-nucleotide long non-coding RNA. RefSeq lists it as uncharacterized. The record is from RefSeq and is a predicted model, not a curated record. Lineage: Eukaryota; Metazoa; Chordata; Mammalia; Primates; Hominidae. The transcript has 4 exons.
UAGUUUUUAAUUAGAAUAUUUUUGAUGAGAUGCAAAUGGUUAAAACAAUAUUUCAAAUAGGUGUGAAGAAUCCAUUCUAUCUGAGAAAGGGGUUAUGUGUGUUUCUUUUUUUUUUUUUUAAGGCUUCUCUUCAAUGACAGAAACGUGUGUUUCUUCAUUAAAGUAAAACCCAAGCGGAGAUUUUCACUAAUAAAAAGAAAAACAUUAAUUAUCUCCUGAAAAUAAGCUCUGCAUAAUGGCCGUAUGUAGCCAUGAAGAUACUGGUGUUAAAAAGUAUUGCUGAGAUUAUAUAAUCAAUACUAAGUUCUUAGGAUAACCAUGUGAAUAUUAACUCUAUUAUAUAACACUGCUGUGUUAUGACACAGAAGUAUAUUUCAAAGAUGUUGCCAUUAAAAAAUACCAAGUCACUGUAGAAAUCCAUUGGCAUUUGUAGAGUGCUGAAACAGUUUUCAGUUCUUAAAAACAGAUGCAAGUUAGAACACAACAAUGAGUUCUGUUUAAAUAAUCAACACUUUCACCAAACUUUUACAAGUCAAAUAUAUCAAUUGUGUUUGAGACUGUGUUUUAAGAAUUAAAUAAAAGCAGUGUGAGAUAAUUAUAUUUCAAUAAGAAUAAUAAGCCUAAAAGACAGAAAAUACUUCUUUAAGAGAACUAAAGUCUGGUUUAAAGCUUUUAAAUAGAAAGAGGUCAUAGAGGGACAUUCUGGAUAAAAAGGGUUGGCUGGGGGCUGAAAUUAUAAAAGAUGGUAUACCCUGAUUUCUAUGGACACCUUUUGUACAAAUGGGUAUACAAGUCUCGCAAGGGCUGCCAAAAUUGCCACUGAGUUUAUCUCACCAUGAUACUACCUCAGUGCCUACACGAAUUACUAUGUGAUGUUUAAAAUGUGUAUUGUUCAUGUUGCUUGAAAUAAGUAGCUCUUCAUCUGUUACUCUGGAAUCUUUUUCUUGCAAACAUUUUAAAUUUUGAUAACCCAAUUUUUAUAAUAGGCCUUGGCAUGUAUACAAGGGGUUCGAUGCAGUUACAGGAGAAAGAAAUGUUGGCUCUUCCAGAUUUAUCUCAGAAGUAAGGAUUAAAAUGGCUCAUUUAAUCCAGGGACUUGGAGAACUGAUUCCUUUCUCUUUACAGAGAAAGAAAGAAAAUAAAAGAAAAAGAAAGGAAAGGAAGGAAGAAAGAAAAGAAAGAAAGAGAGAGAGAAAGAAAGAAAAGACAGAAAGAGAAAGGAAGGAAGGAAGGUUUUAAUGAGGAGACAAUGCUUUUUGUCCCUGAGCUUCUCUUGUUCAAGUGCAGAACAGAAAAAGGAGAGAGAAAGUUUGAUGCAGGGAUCAGGCCUCCUCAGCCGCUGAUGCCUCAUGAUAGAAGCACCGUGGCUUCUCAAGGACUGUAGGUUACAGAAGGCUCCCGUCUAGACUGAGUCAGGCCUGGUGGCUGGCACACACACAGUCUACCCAGUGUCUGCAAGAGCAGCCAAUUGGGAGACACUCCACACUUCUCUCUGAGUCAUUGCCUUGUCCAUCCAGGUGCCCACAGCACACACCAACCCACUGCAAACAAGACCUUUUCUCCUGGGAGAAAGCCUCAACGUUUUCAAGCUUGAGUUUUCAGAGACUAUUCACAAUAGCAAAGAUAUGGAAUCACCCUAAGUGUCCGUCAGCUAAUGAUUGGAUAAGGAAAGUGUCGUAUACAUGGAAGACUCCUUAGCCAUAAAAAGAAGGAAAUCAUGUUUUUUGCAGCAACCGGGGUGAAACUGGAGGCCAUUAUCUUAACUGAAACAACUCAAAACCAAGAAGUCAAGCACUGCAUAUUCUCACUCAGAAGUGUGAGCUGAAAAAUGUGUACACAUGGAUGUACAGAGUGGAAUCACAGACU